Malus domestica (apple) is the source of this 415-nucleotide non-coding RNA. Lineage: Eukaryota; Viridiplantae; Streptophyta; Magnoliopsida; Rosales; Rosaceae. The record is from RefSeq and is a predicted model, not a curated record.
AAUUUUGACUCAUUUCGGCCAGACUCGCACUCCAACGAAGGUGGCGAAGAUCAGACGGUUGGAUCAUUAUGGAAUUGAAGUAUGUUAUUGUAGAUGUAUUGUGUUGACCUUAGGAACUUGUGGAUCAAAAAUCCAAUAUGUGGAUAUUUUGGGUUGGAUUCCGUAGGGUUGUUGACUUUAUUGUUGACCACAUUCACCUAGAGUUGACUUUUGGUCAAAAUGUCUUAGUUCUUAAAUAUUGAAAUUAUCAUUAUCAUAGACCCGAUAGAUCCUAGUUGGCUUACUUUGAUUAGUAUGCCAUCCUGAGGGAUAUACAUCUCGGUUUGCAUGUAGGUGAAACCUUAUCAGGUUCAUGUUUAUUGUGCUUCUAUAUGUGAGUGACUUUAAUAUAUGCGGUAUGGUUAUUACCUGAAAA